AGCGGCGGAUGGGUGAGUAACACGUGGGGAACCUGCCCCUAAGUCUGGGAUACCAUUUGGAAACAGGUGCUAAUACCGGAUAAUAAAGCAGAUCGCAUGAUCAGCUUUUGAAAGGCGGCGUAAGCUGUCGCUAAGGGAUGGCCCCGCGGUGCAUUAGCUAGUUGGUAAGGUAACGGCUUACCAAGGCGACGAUGCAUAGCCGAGUUGAGAGACUGAUCGGCCACAUUGGGACUGAGACACGGCCCAAACUCCUACGGGAGGCAGUAGUAGGGAAUCUUCCACAAUGGACGCAAGUCUGAUGGAGUAACGCCGCGUGAGUGAAGAAGGUUUUCGGAUCGUAAAGCUCUGUUGUUGGUGAAGAAGGAUAGAGGUAGUAACUGGCCUUUAUUUGACGGUAAUCAACCAGAAAGUCACGGCUAACUACGUGCCAGCAGCCGCGGUAAUACGUAGGUGGCAAGCGUUGUCCGGAUUUAUUGGGCGUAGAGCGAGCGCAGGCGGAAAAAUAAGUCUAAUGUGAAAGCCCUCGGCUUAACCGAGGAACUGCAUCGGAAACUGUUUUUCUUGAGUGCAGAAGAGGAGAGUGGAACUCCAUGUGUAGCGGUGGAAUGCGUAGAUAUAUGGAAGAACACCAGUGGCGAAAGCGGCUCUCUGGUCUGCAACUGACGCUGGGGCUCGAAAGCAUGGGUAGCGAACAGGAUUAGAUACCCUGGUAGUCCAUGCCGUAAACGAUGAGUGCUAAGUGU
Molecule: ribosomal RNA, 743 nt
Filed under: uncultured bacterium
Lineage: Bacteria
Description: bacterial SSU rRNA
Rfam family: Bacterial small subunit ribosomal RNA
Source: RNAcentral